AGAUUGUGACGUAAACAACGUGAAGGGCGCGGCCCGCGAUUGCCCAGUUCGGCUCUCUCUUCAAAUUGCUGAAUUCAUUGGACGCCGACUUCAUCUGCUUCCAGGAAACCAAGCUGCGACGACAGGAAUUAACGGCCGAGUUGGCCGAGGGCUACGAGUCCUUCCCCUCCCGCACCGGCACCUCCGGAAGGGGUCGCACCGGGUACUCCGAUAAUUGUUUGGUGUGGCGACGUUUUGUCGCGCGAAGUGGGCGUUCUCGAGUGACGAAGUCGCUUUGCCGAAGGCAGCGGAGGAAUGCUUUACCGGCUUCUUGACUGAAAGGAGAAUGAUUGCGGUUGCGGGGCUUAGAGUUUUCAACGGGAGAUUGAGUUAAUGGAGAGGGCAGUGUUUUUCAAGGAUCAUGGAUGGGUUCUCUUCAAUUUGUAUGGGCCUCGAGCUUGA
Molecule: small RNA, 441 nt
Filed under: Malus domestica (apple)
Lineage: Eukaryota; Viridiplantae; Streptophyta; Magnoliopsida; Rosales; Rosaceae
Description: sRNA MD15G0215200
Source: RNAcentral